Non-coding RNA from Arachnomyces sp. PD_36, 96 nucleotides. The record is from the annotation of a GenBank genome assembly. NCBI's taxonomy places the organism in Eukaryota, Fungi, Ascomycota, Eurotiomycetes, Onygenales, Arachnomycetaceae.
GGGGUUAUGGCCAAGCUGGGAAGGCGUCCGUCUGAAGUGAAUUCAGACCUCAAUCUUGUUAACGGAAGAUCCCCGGUUCGAACCCGGGUGACCCCA